GAAAUGCGAUAAGUAGUGUGAAUUGCAGAACUCAGUGAAUCAUCGAAUCUUUGAACGCACAUUGCGCCCCUCGGUAUUCCGUGGGGCAUGCCUGUUCGAGCGUCAUCUACACCCUCAAGCUCUGCUUGGUGUUGGGCGUCUGUCCCGCCUCCUUCGCGCGCGGACUCGCCCCAAAUCCAUUGGCGGCGGCCCUUGCCUCCCUCUCGCGCAGCACAUUGCGCUUCUCGAGGCGCGGCGGACCGCGUCCAGCAAGCAACCGUCACACCGUCUUUGACCUCGGAUCAGGUAGGGAUACCCGCCGAACUUAAGC
Molecule: unclassified non-coding RNA, 310 nt
Filed under: plant metagenome
Description: partial contains 5.8S ribosomal RNA, internal transcribed spacer 2, and large subunit ribosomal RNA
Rfam family: 5.8S ribosomal RNA (bases 1-105)
Source: RNAcentral